UAAUACGUAGGUGGCGAGCGUUGUCCGGAUUUACUGGGCGUAAAGGGAGCGUAGGCGGACUUUUAAGUGAGAUGUGAAAUACCCGGGCUCAACUUGGGUGCUGCAUUUCAAACUGGAAGUCUAGAGUGCAGGAGAGGAGAAUGGAAUUCCUAGUGUAGCGGUGAAAUGCGUAGAGAUUAGGAAGAACACCAGUGGCGAAGGCGAUUCUCUGGACUGUAACUGACGCUGAGGCUCGAAAGCGUGGGGAGCAAACAGG
Molecule: ribosomal RNA, 256 nt
Filed under: uncultured bacterium
Lineage: Bacteria
Description: partial 16S ribosomal RNA
Rfam family: Bacterial small subunit ribosomal RNA
Source: RNAcentral